Molecule: ribosomal RNA, 546 nt
Filed under: uncultured bacterium
Lineage: Bacteria
Description: partial 16S ribosomal RNA
Rfam family: Bacterial small subunit ribosomal RNA
Source: RNAcentral
UGGGGAAUUUUGGACAAUGGGCGAAAGCCUGAUCCAGCAAUGCCGCGUGUGUGAAGAAGGCCUUCGGGUUGUAAAGCACUUUUGUCCGGAAAGAAAUCCUUGGCUCUAAUACAGUCGGGGGAUGACGGUACCGGAAGAAUAAGCACCGGCUAACUACGUGCCAGCAGCCGCGGUAAUACGUAGGGUGCAAGCGUUAAUCGGAAUUACUGGGCGUAAAGCGUGCGCAGGCGGUUUGCUAAGACCGAUGUGAAAUCCCCGGGCUCAACCUGGGAACUGCAUUGGUGACUGGCAGGCUAGAGUAUGGCAGAGGGGGGUAGAAUUCCACGUGUAGCAGUGAAAUGCGUAGAGAUGUGGAGGAAUACCGAUGGCGAAGGCAGCCCCCUGGGCCAAUACUGACGCUCAUGCACGAAAGCGUGGGGAGCGAACAGGAUUAGAUACCCUGGUAGUCCACGCCCUAAACGAUGUCAACUAGUUGUUGGGGAUUCAUUUCCUAGUAACGUAGCUAACGCGUGAAGUUGACCGCCUGGGGAGUACGGUCGCAAGAUU